Molecule: ribosomal RNA, 464 nt
Filed under: uncultured bacterium
Lineage: Bacteria
Description: partial 16S ribosomal RNA
Rfam family: Bacterial small subunit ribosomal RNA
Source: RNAcentral
CCUACGGGAGGCAGCAGUAGGGAAUCUUCCACAAUGGGCGAAAGCCUGAUGGAGCAACGCCGCGUGGGUGAAGAAGGUCUUCGGAUCGUAAAACCCUGUUGUUAGAGAAGAAAGUGCGUGAGAGUAACUGUUCACGUUUCGACGGUAUCUAACCAGAAAGCCACGGCUAACUACGUGCCAGCAGCCGCGGUAAUACGUAGGUGGCAAGCGUUAUCCGGAUUUAUUGGGCGUAAGGGAACGCAGGCGGUCUUUUAAGUCUGAUGUGAAAGCCUUCGGCUUAACCGGAGUAGUGCAUUGGAAACUGGGAGACUUGAGUGCAGAAGAGGAGAGUGGAACUCCAUGUGGAGCGGUGAAAUGCGUAGAUAUAUGGAAGAACACCAGUGGCGAAAGCGGCUCUCUGGUCGGUAACUGACGCUGAGGUUCGAAAGCGUGGGUAGCAAACAGGAUUAGAUACCCUUGUAGUC